UCCUGGUUAACCCAGGCAGUCUCACUAGAGUUCCCACCCUAAGUGUUGGCAACUAGUGAUAAGGGUUGCGCUCGUUGCGGGACUUAACCCAACACCUCACGGCACGAGCUGACGACAGCCAUGCAGCACCUGUGUAAAGGCCCCGAAGGGAGAGCACAUCUCUGCGCUUGUCCUCUACAUGUCAAGCCUAGGUAAGGUUCUUCGCGUUGCAUCGAAUUAAACCACAUGCUCCACUGCUUGUGCGGGUCCCCGUCAAUUCUUUUGAGUUUUACUCUUGCGAGCGUACUCCCCAGGCGGUACACUUAUCACGUUAGCUUCGGCACAGUCGGGGUUGAUUCCAACUACACCAAGUGUACAUCGUUUACAGCUAGGACUAC
Molecule: unclassified non-coding RNA, 377 nt
Filed under: uncultured Chlamydiales bacterium
Lineage: Bacteria; Pseudomonadati; Chlamydiota; Chlamydiia; Chlamydiales
Description: contains 16S-23S intergenic spacer region
Source: RNAcentral